ACGCUGGCGGCACGCCUAACACAUGCAAGUCGAACGAAGUAGCAAUACUUAGUGGCAGACGGGUGAGUAACAUGUAGGUAUCUGCCCUUUGGCCUGGAAUAACACGAGGAAACUUGUGCUAAUACCGGAUAAGUCUUUACGGAGAAAGCUUUAUGCACCAUUGGAUGAGCCUGCACUUGAUUAGUUUGUUGGUAGGGUAAUGGCCUACCAAGACUGUGAUCAAUAGCUGAUUUGAGAGGAUGAUCAGCCACAUUGGGACUGAGACACGGCCCAAACUCCUACGGGAGGCAGCAGUGGGGAAUCUUGCACAAUGGAGGAAACUCUGAUGCAGCGAUGCCGCGUGAGUGAAGAAGGCCCUUGGGUUGUAAAGCUCUUUCGUCGGGGAAGAAAAUGACUGUACCCGAAUAAGAAGGUCCGGCUAACUUCGUGCCAGCAGCCGCGGUAAUACGAAGGGACCUAGCGUAGUUCGGAAUUACUGGGCUUAAAGAGUUCGUAGGUGGUUGAAAAAGUUGGUGGUGAAAUCCCAGAGCUUAACUCUGGAACUGCCAUCAAAACUUUUCAGCUAGAGUAUGAUAGAGGAAAGCAGAAUUUCUAGUGUAGAGGUGAAAUUCGUAGAUAUUAGAAAGAAUACCAAUUGCGAAGGCAGCUUUCUGGAUCAUUACUGACACUGAGGAACGAAAGCAUGGGUAGCGAAGAGGAUUAGAUACCCUCGUAGUCCAUGCCGUAAACGAUGUGUGUUAGACGUUGGAAAUUUAUUUUC
RNAcentral lists this ribosomal RNA (760 nucleotides) under uncultured bacterium. RNAcentral's name for it is "bacterial SSU rRNA". It matches the Rfam family "Bacterial small subunit ribosomal RNA", at positions 33 to 841 of the family's 1533-position model. The record is from RNAcentral.